AAUCUUCCGCAGUGGACGAAAGUCUGACGGAGCGACGCCGCGUGAGUGAUGAAGGUCUUCGGAUUGUAAAACUCUGUUGUUAGGGAAGAACGAGUACUGGUCUAAUAAACGGGUACCUUGACGUUACCUACCCGGAAACACCCGUCUACCUACUUCCAAGCAGCCGCGGUAAUACGUAGGGGGCAGGCGUUGUCCGGAAUUAUUGGGCGUAAAGGGCUCGCAGGCGGUCUUCUAAGUCUGAUGUUAAAUCUCGUAGCUUAACUACGAACGGUCAUUGGAAACUGGGAGACUUGAGUACAGAAGAGGAGAGUGGAAUUCCACGUGUAGCGGUGAAAUGCGUAGAGAUGUGGAGGAACACCAGUGGCGAAGGCGACUCUCUGGUCUGUAACUGACGCUGAGGAGCGAAAGCGUGGGUAGCGAAC
RNAcentral lists this ribosomal RNA (422 nucleotides) under uncultured bacterium. RNAcentral describes it as "partial 16S ribosomal RNA". It matches the Rfam family "Bacterial small subunit ribosomal RNA", at positions 360 to 773 of the family's 1533-position model. The record is from RNAcentral.